Molecule: long non-coding RNA, 326 nt
Organism: Erinaceus europaeus (western European hedgehog)
Lineage: Eukaryota; Metazoa; Chordata; Mammalia; Eulipotyphla; Erinaceidae
Exons: 2
Source: RefSeq, a predicted model, not a curated record
GGGGUUUUCCUCCCAGCAGAGGGCUGCAUUCCACGGUAGUCAGGGAGACCCAAACAAUCUACUCAUGUGUAAAGCCACUGCUGGGAAAUGAAGACAGGAGAGUCAGCAGGGGCUGUGGAAUUUGGACUCGCAGCUUAGAAAAACAAACAAAAACCCAGGACAGUGCUGUUGAAAUGGCUUCUAUUCUCGAUGACUGUCCCAAACAACAUCAACAUUAAACACCAUUCAGAUGGGGAAGGAGUGAUUUGAAAGUAAGGCAUUUCUACUUAAAAGUAAAUGGUCACGACAAGGUGUCUAUAUGAGCACAAUAAAACACUUUCUUGGUA